Molecule: ribosomal RNA, 99 nt
Filed under: uncultured bacterium
Lineage: Bacteria
Description: partial 16S ribosomal RNA
Rfam family: Bacterial small subunit ribosomal RNA
Source: RNAcentral
CAACGCCGCGUGGAGGAUGAAGUCCCUUGGGACGUAAACUCCUUUCGACCGGGACGAUAAUGACGGUACCGGUGGAAGAAGCCCCGGCUAACUUCGUGC